Molecule: ribosomal RNA, 335 nt
Filed under: uncultured bacterium
Lineage: Bacteria
Description: bacterial SSU rRNA
Rfam family: Bacterial small subunit ribosomal RNA
Source: RNAcentral
AGUAGACGUUCAGAGUUUGGCUCAGGAUGAACGCUAGCGGCAGGCCUAAUACAUGCAAGCCGAACGGCAAGUUGAGUAGCAAUACUUGACCUAGAGUGGCGUAAGGGUGCGUAACACGUAUGCAAUCUGCCCUGUACAGGAGAAUAGCUCCCCGAAAGGGGAAUUAAUACUCCGUAAUAUAGAGGUGUGGGCAUCACACUACUAUUAAAACUGAGGUGGUACAGGAUGAGCAUGCGCAUGAUUAGUUAGUUGGCGGGGUAACGGCCCACCAAGACGAUGAUCAUUAGGGGAACUGAGAGGUUGAUCCCCCACACUGGCACUGAGAUACGGGCCAG